This 2904-nucleotide ribosomal RNA is filed under the name Escherichia coli. Its description in RNAcentral is "bacterial LSU rRNA". It matches the Rfam family "Bacterial large subunit ribosomal RNA". The record is from RNAcentral. Lineage: Bacteria; Pseudomonadati; Pseudomonadota; Gammaproteobacteria; Enterobacterales; Enterobacteriaceae.
UUAAGCGACUAAGCGUACACGGUGGAUGCCCUGGCAGUCAGAGGCGAUGAAGGACGUGCUAAUCUGCGAUAAGCGUCGGUAAGGUGAUAUGAACCGUUAUAACCGGCGAUUUCCGAAUGGGGAAACCCAGUGUGUUUCGACACACUAUCAUUAACUGAAUCCAUAGGUUAAUGAGGCGAACCGGGGGAACUGAAACAUCUAAGUACCCCGAGGAAAAGAAAUCAACCGAGAUUCCCCCAGUAGCGGCGAGCGAACGGGGAGCAGCCCAGAGCCUGAAUCAGUGUGUGUGUUAGUGGAAGCGUCUGGAAAGGCGCGCGAUACAGGGUGACAGCCCCGUACACAAAAAUGCACAUAUUGUGAGCUCGAUGAGUAGGGCGGGACACGUGGUAUCCUGUCUGAAUAUGGGGGGACCAUCCUCCAAGGCUAAAUACUCCUGACUGACCGAUAGUGAACCAGUACCGUGAGGGAAAGGCGAAAAGAACCCCGGCGAGGGGAGUGAAAAAGAACCUGAAACCGUGUACGUACAAGCAGUGGGAGCCUCUUUUAUGGGGUGACUGCGUACCUUUUGUAUAAUGGGUCAGCGACUUAUAUUCUGUAGCAAGGUUAACCGAAUAGGGGAGCCGAAGGGAAACCGAGUCUUAACUGGGCGUUAAGUUGCAGGGUAUAGACCCGAAACCCGGUGAUCUAGCCAUGGGCAGGUUGAAGGUUGGGUAACACUAACUGGAGGACCGAACCGACUAAUGUUGAAAAAUUAGCGGAUGACUUGUGGCUGGGGGUGAAAGGCCAAUCAAACCGGGAGAUAGCUGGUUCUCCCCGAAAGCUAUUUAGGUAGCGCCUCGUGAAUUCAUCUCCGGGGGUAGAGCACUGUUUCGGCAAGGGGGUCAUCCCGACUUACCAACCCGAUGCAAACUGCGAAUACCGGAGAAUGUUAUCACGGGAGACACACGGCGGGUGCUAACGUCCGUCGUGAAGAGGGAAACAACCCAGACCGCCAGCUAAGGUCCCAAAGUCAUGGUUAAGUGGGAAACGAUGUGGGAAGGCCCAGACAGCCAGGAUGUUGGCUUAGAAGCAGCCAUCAUUUAAAGAAAGCGUAAUAGCUCACUGGUCGAGUCGGCCUGCGCGGAAGAUGUAACGGGGGCUAAACCAUGCACCGAAGCUGCGGCAGCGACGCUGAUGCGUUGUUGGGUAGGGGAGCGUUCUGUAAGCCUGUGAAGGUGUGCUGUGAGGCAUGCUGGAGGUAUCAGAAGUGCGAAUGCUGACAUAAGUAACGAUAAAGCGGGUGAAAAGCCCGCUCGCCGGAAGACCAAGGGUUCCUGUCCAACGUUAAUCGGGGCAGGGUGAGUCGACCCCUAAGGCGAGGCCGAAAGGCGUAGUCGAUGGGAAACAGGUUAAUAUUCCUGUACUUGGUGUUACUGCGAAGGGGGGACGGAGAAGGCUAUGUUGGCCGGGCGACGGUUGUCCCGGUUUAAGCGUGUAGGCUGGUUUUCCAGGCAAAUCCGGAAAAUCAAGGCUGAGGCGUGAUGACGAGGCACUACGGUGCUGAAGCAACAAAUGCCCUGCUUCCAGGAAAAGCCUCUAAGCAUCAGGUAACAUCAAAUCGUACCCCAAACCGACACAGGUGGUCAGGUAGAGAAUACCAAGGCGCUUGAGAGAACUCGGGUGAAGGAACUAGGCAAAAUGGUGCCGUAACUUCGGGGAGAAGGCACGCUGAUACGUAGGUGAAGUCCCUCGCGGAUGGAGCUGAAAUCAGUCGAAGAUACCAGCUGGCUGCAACUGUUUAUUAAAAACACAGCACUGUGCAAACACGAAAGUGGACGUAUACGGUGUGACGCCUGCCCGGUGCCGGAAGGUUAAUUGAUGGGGUCAGCGCAAGCGAAGCUCUUGAUCGAAGCCCCGGUAAACGGCGGCCGUAACUAUAACGGUCCUAAGGUAGCGAAAUUCCUUGUCGGGUAAGUUCCGACCUGCACGAAUGGCGUAAUGAUGGCCAGGCUGUCUCCACCCGAGACUCAGUGAAAUUGAACUCGCUGUGAAGAUGCAGUGUACCCGCGGCAAGACGGAAAGACCCCGUGAACCUUUACUAUAGCUUGACACUGAACAUUGAGCCUUGAUGUGUAGGAUAGGUGGGAGGCUUGGAAGUGUGGACGCCAGUCUGCAUGGAGCCGACCUUGAAAUACCACCCUUUAAUGUUUGAUGUUCUAACGUUGACCCGUAAUCCGGGUUGCGGACAGUGUCUGGUGGGUAGUUUGACUGGGGCGGUCUCCUCCUAAAGAGUAACGGAGGAGCACGAAGGUUGGCUAAUCCUGGUCGGACAUCAGGAGGUUAGUGCAAUGGCAUAAGCCAGCUUGACUGCGAGCGUGACGGCGCGAGCAGGUGCGAAAGCAGGUCAUAGUGAUCCGGUGGUUCUGAAUGGAAGGGCCAUCGCUCAACGGAUAAAAGGUACUCCGGGGAUAACAGGCUGAUACCGCCCAAGAGUUCAUAUCGACGGCGGUGUUUGGCACCUCGAUGUCGGCUCAUCACAUCCUGGGGCUGAAGUAGGUCCCAAGGGUAUGGCUGUUCGCCAUUUAAAGUGGUACGCGAGCUGGGUUUAGAACGUCGUGAGACAGUUCGGUCCCUAUCUGCCGUGGGCGCUGGAGAACUGAGGGGGGCUGCUCCUAGUACGAGAGGACCGGAGUGGACGCAUCACUGGUGUUCGGGUUGUCAUGCCAAUGGCACUGCCCGGUAGCUAAAUGCGGAAGAGAUAAGUGCUGAAAGCAUCUAAGCACGAAACUUGCCCCGAGAUGAGUUCUCCCUGACCCUUUAAGGGUCCUGAAGGAACGUUGAAGACGACGACGUUGAUAGGCCGGGUGUGUAAGCGCAGCGAUGCGUUGAGCUAACCGGUACUAAUGAACCGUGAGGCUUAACCUU